GUUGGUCAAAGGGGAUUUCCUGGCCAGGACGGGUUGCCGGGCCAACCAGGCCAACCAGGAUAUCCGGGGAAACCUGGCAAGCCUCCCUCAGAUGAACAUCUUCUAAAGCUCUGUGAGGACGUUCUGCGCAAUCAACUUCCAGCACUGCUCCAGACCCUGAUCCCCCAGCUGGGUGUGAACCUUGCCAGAGCAUGAAGGGACCCCCGGGUGAGCCAGGACCACCAGGGCCCAAAGGCUCCAUGGGAACUCCAGGCUACCCUGGCAGGAAUGGUGCUCCCGGUUACCCAGGACCUCCUGGCCUGCAGGGUCCUGUAGGCCUUAAAGGUGAUAUAACCCAUAAUGUAGGGAUUGACAUGG
Molecule: long non-coding RNA, 357 nt
Organism: Micropterus salmoides (largemouth bass)
Lineage: Eukaryota; Metazoa; Chordata; Actinopteri; Centrarchiformes; Centrarchidae
Exons: 3
Source: RefSeq, a predicted model, not a curated record